This 116-nucleotide ribosomal RNA is filed under the name Lepisosteus oculatus (spotted gar). Lineage: Eukaryota; Metazoa; Chordata; Actinopteri; Semionotiformes; Lepisosteidae. The record is from RNAcentral.
AGCAGCAGCCAUGACACCCUGAAACUCACAACUGGCAGCCCAAUCAAGCUCAGCAGUGUGAGCCUGGUCAGUACCUGGAUGGGAGACCUCCUUGGAAAAACAGGUUGCUGCUGGAA